RNAcentral lists this ribosomal RNA (497 nucleotides) under uncultured bacterium. RNAcentral's name for it is "partial 16S ribosomal RNA". It matches the Rfam family "Bacterial small subunit ribosomal RNA", at positions 28 to 507 of the family's 1533-position model. The record is from RNAcentral.
GAUGAACGCUGGCGGCGUGCCUAAUACAUGCAAGUCGAGCGAACAGACGAGGAGCUUGCUCCUUUGACGUUAGCGGCGGACGGGUGAGUAACACGUAGGUAACCUACCUAUAAGACUGGGAUAACUUCGGGAAACCGGAGCUAAUACCGGAUAAUAUUUCGAACCGCAUGGUUCGAUAGUGAAAGAUGGCUUUGCUAUCACUUAUAGAUGGACCUGCGCCGUAUUAGCUAGUUGGUAAGGUAACGGCUUACCAAGGCAACGAUACGUAGCCGACCUGAGAGGGUGAUCGGCCACGCUGGAACUGAGACACGGUCCAGACUCCUACGGGAGGCAGCAGUAGGGAAUCUUCCGCAAUGGGCGAAAGCCUGACGGAGCAACGCCGCGUGAGUGAUGAAGGUCUUCGGAUCGUAAAACUCUGUUAUUAGGGAAGAACAAACGUGUAAGUAACUGUGCACGUCUCGACGGUACCUAAUCAGAAAGCCACGGCUAACUACGUG